CCCUGGAUGGCUCAGUUGGUAAAGAAUCCGCCUGCAAUGCAGGAGACCCUGGUUCAAUUCCUGGAUCAGGAA
This 72-nucleotide transfer RNA is filed under the name Bos taurus (domestic cattle). It matches the Rfam family "tRNA". From Rfam's summary of the family: Transfer RNA (tRNA) molecules are approximately 80 nucleotides in length. RNAcentral also lists the same sequence under 4 other names. Lineage: Eukaryota; Metazoa; Chordata; Mammalia; Artiodactyla; Bovidae. The record is from Rfam by way of RNAcentral.